RNAcentral lists this transfer RNA (71 nucleotides) under Nesterenkonia sp. Its description in RNAcentral is "tRNA-Cys". It matches the Rfam family "tRNA". Rfam says of the family: Transfer RNA (tRNA) molecules are approximately 80 nucleotides in length. Their secondary structure includes four short double-helical elements and three loops (D, anti-codon, and T loops). The record is from RNAcentral. RNAcentral also lists the same sequence under 1 other name. Lineage: Bacteria; Bacillati; Actinomycetota; Actinomycetes; Micrococcales; Micrococcaceae.
GGUGGGGUGGCCGAAUGGCGAGGCAACGGCCUGCAAAGCCGUGUACGCGGGUUCGAUUCCCGUCCCCACCU